GACGAACGCUGGCGGCGUGCUUAACACAUGCAAGUCGAACGGAAAGGCCCUGCUUUUGUGGGGUGCUCGAGUGGCGAACGGGUGAGUAUCACGUGAGUAACCUGCCCUUUACUUUGGGAUAACUUCAGGAAACUGGGGCUAAUACCGGAUAUGAGCUCCUUCUGCAUGGUGGUGGUUGGUAAAUUUCGGCGGUUGGGGAUGGACUCGCGGCUUAUCAGCUUGUUGGUGGGGUAGUGGCUUAACAAGGCUUUGACGGGUUGCCGGCCUGAGAGGGUGACCGGCCACAUUGGGACUGAGAUACGGCCCAGACUCCUACGGGAGGCAGCAGUGGGGAAUAUUGCACAAUGGGCGGAAGCCUGAUGCAGCAACGCCGCGUGCGGGAUGACGGCCUUCGGGUUGUAAACCGCUUUCGCCUGUGACGAAGCGUGAGUGACGGUAAUGGGUAAAGAAGCACCGGCUAACUACGUG
This 468-nucleotide ribosomal RNA is filed under the name uncultured bacterium. RNAcentral describes it as "partial 16S ribosomal RNA". It matches the Rfam family "Bacterial small subunit ribosomal RNA", at positions 28 to 507 of the family's 1533-position model. The record is from RNAcentral.